RNAcentral lists this unclassified non-coding RNA (363 nucleotides) under uncultured bacterium. RNAcentral describes it as "contains 16S-23S intergenic spacer region". The record is from RNAcentral.
UCCCCGUUACCGGGGCAGUCUGAUUAGAAAAAUACAACUAAUCACAAGGGUUGCGCUCGUUGAUGGACUUAACCAAACAUCUCACGACACGAGCUGACGACGGCCAUGCAUCACCUGUCACUUGGCUCAAUAAAGCACUCUCUGCUUUCACAGAAAUUCCAAGGAUGUCAAACCCUGGUAAGGUUCUUCGUUUAUCAUCGAAUUAAAGAACACGAUCCACCGCUUGUGCGGGUCCCCGUCAAUUCCUUUAUGUUUUAGUCUUGCGACCGUACUCCACAGGCGGGAUACUUAACGCGUUAGCUUCGCUACUGAAGGGGUCGAUACCUCCAACAGCUAGUAUCCAUCGUUUACGGCGUGGACUAC